UAUAAAACUAAGCUUCCCAAACACGCUAUAACUUUCAUGCAAUUUUAAUAAUAACGUAAAAAAUCGAGCCAAAAUCAAACACUUCAACAAAAUAAAAUAAAAAAACUUAUAA
Molecule: ribosomal RNA, 112 nt
Filed under: Cardisoma guanhumi
Lineage: Eukaryota; Metazoa; Arthropoda; Malacostraca; Decapoda; Gecarcinidae
Description: partial 12S ribosomal RNA
Source: RNAcentral